Molecule: ribosomal RNA, 811 nt
Filed under: Thyronectria aquifolii
Lineage: Eukaryota; Fungi; Ascomycota; Sordariomycetes; Hypocreales; Nectriaceae
Description: eukaryotic LSU rRNA
Rfam family: Eukaryotic large subunit ribosomal RNA
Source: RNAcentral
AGUGAAGCGGCAACAGCUCAAAUUUGAAAUCUGGCCCCCGUGGUCCGAGUUGUAAUUUGUAGAGGAUGCUUUUGGUGAGGUGCCUUCCGAGUUCCCUGGAACGGGACGCCACAGAGGGUGAGAGCCCCGUCUGGUCGGACACCACAACCUCUGUAAAGCUCCUUCGACGAGUCGAGUAGUUUGGGAAUGCUGCUCUAAAUGGGAGGUAUAUGUCUUCUAAAGCUAAAUACCGGCCAGAGACCGAUAGCGCACAAGUAGAGUGAUCGAAAGAUGAAAAGCACUUUGAAAAGAGGGUUAAAUAGUACGUGAAAUUGUUGAAAGGGAAGCGUUUGUGACCAGACUUGGGCCCGGUUAAUCAUCCAGCGUUCUUCGCUGGUGCACUUGGCCGGCCCAGGCCAGCAUCAGUUUGCCGCGGGGGAUAAAGGCUUCGGGAACGUGGCUCCUCUGGAGUGUUAUAGCCCGUUGCGUAAUACCCUGCGGCGGACUGAGGUUCGCGCAUCUGCAAGGAUGCUGGCGUAAUGGUCAUCAACGACCCGUCUUGAAACACGGACCAAGGAGUCGUCUUCGUAUGCGAGUGUUCGGGUGUCAAACCCCUACGCGUAAUGAAAGUGAACGGAGGUGGGAGCCUCGGCGCACCAUCGACCGAUCCUGAUGUUUUCGGAUGGAUUUGAGUAAGAGCAUACGGGGCCGGACCCGAAAGAAGGUGAACUAUGCCUGUAUAGGGUGAAGCCAGAGGAAACUCUGGUGGAGGCUCGCAGCGGUUCUGACGUGCAAAUCGAUCGUCAAAUAUGGGCAUGGGGGCGAAAGACUA